Molecule: long non-coding RNA, 4927 nt
Organism: Passer montanus (Eurasian tree sparrow)
Lineage: Eukaryota; Metazoa; Chordata; Aves; Passeriformes; Passeridae
Exons: 4
Source: RefSeq, a predicted model, not a curated record
CUUGUAGUUUUGAAGCCUGAUGUCUUGGGAUCUCAUAAAGCUCAGAGCAAGUGCUCUGUGAGAGAGAUCAUCUUCUCUGACAGCGCAGCGUUCUGGUUUCCAGUCCUGAGAAGAUGAGGUCUGUGGUCUCUUGUUCCAGGGGUUUCCAACAGGUUUCUUUUCUGACUUAUUCAUACAAGGUGCUGAAAAUGACGGAAGAGCUGAUGAGAAUGGGGAUGGUGAAGAUGUUGGGAAAACAGUCACACAUGUCUGAAUCAGAGACCAAUAACCUGUCUGCUGGCAAGUUAUGUUUUUGUUCACUUGUUAUUAUGAAGCUAGAAGUUAGUUCUCUGAUAUUUAAUUUUUAUUUUAUGGGUGGAUUUUGCAUUUUUUUUACAAAAAAACUCAGGCAAUCAGGAGAACAAAACAAGAUAGGGAUGAAGAGAGAGCUGAAAUGCAAAACACUCUUGUUUUGCUGGGGUCAGACACCACGCAGGUCACUUCACCUGUGCCUUAGCUCAGCUUUAUGUAAGUUGCAAUCAAAGUUUUCCUUGUAGAAGUGGCUUGAUGUUUAUUGCUGUAAAGCAACUCUAUCUUAGGGCUUAUAUAGGGCUUACAGUUAAUAACUGCACAGGGAGUUAUUUAACAACAUUAACAGCAAUGACAGUGUUAUCAAAUCAGUGGUGUGUUUUCCACAGAAUUCAACACUUUUUGAAGGAGGAAAAUAGUGAGGCUGCUUUGGGCUCAGCCUUGUUUUCUCAUCAUACCCUGCCCUCCCUGGCCUAAGAUCCUGGAACGAAACUUUCCAAGCAAAGUUGCUUUUCUUGUUACUUUAAAGACAUCUUGAGAGCAUACCUAUUUUUUCUGCUUAUAUUUUUCCAGCCUGCUUGUUGUUUAAGCAAGAGGACCUUUUCCUACAGCUUAGUGUGUUCAGAAGGGAGAACUUUCUGCCAAAUUCCAUUUCCCCCCUUCUAUUAAGAUUGUAAAGUUGUUGGUGCUGGAGCGUGUCCAGAGAAGGGCUUACACCUUACCUUGCACACACUGACUUUCUCAGCCCACCUUUCCCACCUGUAAGUACCUACACCAGGAGAGGCAGGUGAGUACAGGAAUCUUCCACCCAAAUUACACUUCCAGCAGCUUCUUAUGAGCUGCUGGUUUAAAAUUUCUCUUUGUAACAUGGCCUUGGCCAGAGUAGUGUUGGCCAGGUCCUCUUCACAGCCCAUGUUUGCCUCCCCCACAGACAUGAAGACAGCAGCACACUAUCCAAAAGCCUUGCCUACCUCUUGUUUAUCCCUAAGAUGAUGAUACACUUAAAAAGCUCCAUGGUCUGUAAAGAGAAUGAUCAAACAAUAGCUUCUGCAUAAGUUAGUUGUGGAACCAGUAUAUUGGCAGGUGUAUGAGGUUUUUAAAUCCUUCUGCCGUAGCAAGGAUAAAAUUCCCAACACAAAUGGCAACUCUGCAGCAAGAUUCUGACAUAAUUACUGUAAUUAUAUUGUCUCUGCACUCUCUUAUAAUCAUUGACAGUAUGUAUUUAAUGAGCCCUUUCCCGUUCAGCAGGUUGCUCCCAGCCUCUCAGAUUUACAACUGCAAUGCAGAGGUAUCUCAGAAUAAAAUUAACCCUUGGAAGCAAGGCCCCUUUCUGGGAGGAUGCUGGAGAGUCUCUCAGAGACUGGCACUGCCCGCCCUUCCCUGCAUGGCUGGAACACACAGACAGGCUUCAGAGCUGGGCUGAUCUGCCUUGAUGCUUUGCAGAUUGAGGGGUUUCUGUGGCUUGGACUGGACCUGCAGUGACAUCUCCUGGUCCCCCCGAGGUGAGGUGCUGGCUGCUGAGUGGCACAGCCCCCGGACCCAAAGCUGCCCCGGAGCACAGGACUGCUCAGCACAAACCUCCCCAGGGUCACAUCUCCACCGGGGUGGCUGAAUGUCCAGGGGGAAAAAACACACACCUCCCCCUGACACGUCCCUUCACCUUCACCUGCAGCACCAGAAGAGCCUUCAGAAAUCAUCAUUUUAAGCAUGAAGGUAAAUCAGCCAUGAAAAUGAGAUCAUUGCACGGAGAGCCUGUGGGCGGGCUGUACUUGCCUGCAAAGCCUUGGUGCUUUUAACUGGAGACAGGGAGAGGAGUUAAUCUGUCUCCUCCUGUGCUUAUGUCUGUCUGAGACUCACAUGUGAACAGGAUGUUUUGCACUUCACCACUUCUUUUGUUGUGACUCUCAAACAAUUUCCCACUGAAAACCAACAGGCUUGCUGUUGGCAUCUUAGUAGAGGAAAUUAAAUCCAGCAUUUCAGUGUUAUCUGAUUUCACAUCCCUGCACAUCAUUGUAUAAUUUCACCACCUACUCAUCCUUUUUCUUCACACACAAGUGCAUUUAGAGAAAAUAUAAUUGUUGAACGAAUACUUAGUCAGAGAAAGGUUGUAAUCAGCUCGGAUAGAAAUCAGACAGCUUAUUCACUUGAAAAAAAAGGGGAAAGGAGGAGGAAAUUAAAUGGAAUAAUUUCUUUCCUGUGAACUUAGGGCACCAAAAAUUGUAUGGUAAACUAUAACAAGAGAAGAAAAACAGUUUAAAAACUUAGCAGGCAACAGUAUUCCUCAGCUAUUGCACUAAAAAUAACAUGGAAGUCAAAGAUCUGAUUCAUUUGAUGUCUUCUGUGUUCAUUUAAAAAUAAUUUUAAAGUUACAACCAAAGACUCACAAAUUUUUCCCAGAGCAAAAUAACUGGAUGUCCCCUGUAAAUCAUCAGAUAUAUCAACACUUACCAUCAGGUAGCAGCAACUGAGUCGUGCUGGGAGAACAUGCACAAUGCAGACACCUAAGAUCAAAACUGGGAUUUGAAAAGUUGCUCCAUACUGUCUAAUCCAUCAAAAUACUCAGUCCUAGGAAAGAGGACAAGUCUGGCACACUGCUGAGCACCUCAGGCACUGAGCUUACGGAGUCCGCGAGUCCAUCCUCUCAGGCACCUUCCUCCAGCUAAUUUGCUGCAGAGCCAGCACAAGCAGCAGUCCCAGGCCAGUCCCUCACUCUGCUGGGGGCUGCAGGCAGGUGGCCCCAUGGAGACAAGGACAGUUCAUAAUUACACUGCAUACAGAAAUGCAAUGAAAUGCAAACCCCCAGCGAGACUGGAUGUGCAUCAGGAGCUCAAGUUUAACAAGAGCACAUGAUCACGAGUGUUAGGACUAUCACCCAUAUUUCUUUUUCUUGACUGUGUAGAACUAUUCUAACUUUCUCAUAGACAUUUUUGCCUUGGGGGUGUUGGUUGAUGAGAAGUUUAACAUGACCCAGCAAUGUGUGCUUGCAGCCCAGAAAGCCAACCAUAUCCUGGGCUGCAUCCAACACAGUGUGGCCAGCAGGGGGAAGGGAAUUCUGCCUCUCUGGCCCACUCUGAGACCCCCCUGGAGUGCUGCAUCUUAUGUCCAACAUAAGUGGGACAUGGACCUGCUGCAACAACUACAGAGGAGGCCACAAAGCUGUUCAGAGGGCUGGAGAACCUCUGCCAUGAAGGCAGGCUGAGAGAGUCGGGGCUGUUCAGCCUGGAGACAAGAAGGCUCCAAGGAGAACUUAGAGCACCUUCCAGGGCCUGAAGGGGGCUAUGAGAGAGCCGGAGAGGGACUUUUGACAGGGGCAUGUAGUGAUUAGACAAGGGGGAAUGGCUUUAAACUGACAGAGGGUAGGUUUACAUUAAAUAUUAGGAAGAAAUUCUUUACUGUGAGGGUGGUGAGGCACUGGCACAGGUUGCUAGGAGAAGUUGUGGAUCCCUGGCAGUGUCCAAAGACAGGUUGGAUGGAGCUCUGAGUAACCCAGUCUAGUGGGAGGUGUCCCUGCCCAUGGCAGGGGAGUUGGACAGGAUGAAUUCUAAGGACCCUUUCAACCCAAACCAUUCUAUGCUUCCAUGAUUUAUGCAAGUUUCACAGCCAUUUAAAGCCUAAGACAUUAUGCAAAUAUAAUGAGCAAAACUUUUCCAGUUCAUUUCAAGUAUGAAAUAAGUCAGGUUCUUCAGCACUUCUUAAGAGCAGGAUAGUGUGGUCAGUCCUCUCCAAUAAUUUUUUAGUUCAUAUUACUUUCACAGAAAUAAGAGACAGCCCAUCUGGGGAGAAGGUCAGGAGCUGGUGUAGGGCAGCUGCCUGCCCACGGGAGGAUUCACCUCUGACUAACACAUUAUCACCAAGUAUGUGCCUCACUGCCAUGUGCAUCUGAAGAGCCCCCAUCUGAAACCUCUUCCAGUGCUCCACAAUCUUUUCUGUAACAUGGUUCCUCCCUAGUGACUAAUCUAAAUAUUCUUUGCUUAAAGAAACCUAUUAUUUUCUUGUUCUAUUCACCAUGAACAUAAAAGACACUGAAAAGAUGAAAGGAAUAAAUUGUUCCCUUUGUGUCUUGAGACUUGUAUUUCCUUAUGCUGUUCUGUAAGAAAAAUUACUCAAACUCCACCAAUCUUCUUCUAUUUCUCAUCUCUUAUACUUACAUUCUCACGUUUUCUAGAUUUCUAUUAAAUCUCAUUGCUCUUCUCUGAACUGGUUUUUCCUAACAAGCAUGACAUAUAAAACUAGACCUGCUGUUUCAGCUGAUGCCUCUCCAGAGCAGAACAGAAUGAGGUAUUUUGUCAUAUGGGUGAUACAGUCUUUAUACCUCUCUAUGUUUCUCUUCAUUUUGCAGGAUCACUGUGUUGUUAGAAUGGGUCACAAAAUGAAUGCCAGACAACUACCUGACCUUUUUCAGCUACGUUGACCUUUAAUUCCUCUCUGUUCUGUUUGCAAAGUUUCCUGGUUCUGUCCAAUUCCCCAAGAUGAUUUGGAAUCCUAUUUCUACCCUUUAACAUGUUUGCAACCUCACCUGUCUCAACAUGAAACAACAAUGUCUCUUUUUCCCUCCUAUAUAUCCUGCCCGAAAGAGAUCACAAAGCAGUCACAAAACCUUGUCCAUAUGUACCCUGAAUCAAAAUAUCUCUGUUUAUGC